This 28-nucleotide non-coding RNA is filed under the name Mus musculus (house mouse). The record is from RNAcentral. Lineage: Eukaryota; Metazoa; Chordata; Mammalia; Rodentia; Muridae.
UACUACUACAGUUCAAAGUGAGAGAGUU